MicroRNA precursor from Ciona intestinalis (vase tunicate), 66 nucleotides. The record is from Ensembl. NCBI's taxonomy places the organism in Eukaryota, Metazoa, Chordata, Ascidiacea, Phlebobranchia, Cionidae.
UCGAAACCAAAAUACUCCAGUUUGAUCCCGGUCAACUUACACAAAGUGGAAUGUUUUGUUUCGAAC